This 413-nucleotide unclassified non-coding RNA is filed under the name soil metagenome. RNAcentral's name for it is "partial contains 5.8S ribosomal RNA, internal transcribed spacer 2, and large subunit ribosomal RNA". The stretch from base 1 to 120 matches the Rfam family "5.8S ribosomal RNA", at positions 35 to 154 of the family's 154-position model. The record is from RNAcentral.
GAUGAAGAACGUAGCGAAAUGCGAUAAGUAAUGUGAAUUGCAGAAUUCAGUGAAUCAUCGAAUCUUUGAACGCACCUUGCGCUCUUUGGUAUUCCGAAGAGCAUGCCUGUUUGAGUGUCAUGAAAAUAUCAACCUUGACUUGGGUUUUGUGCUCUAGUCUUGGCUUGGAAUUGGGUGCUUGCCGCUUUUACGAGCGGCUCACCUUAAAUGUAUUAGCUGGAUCUGUCUUUGAGACUUGGUUUGACUUGGCGUAAUAAGUAUUUCGCUAAGGACAUUCUUCGGAGUGGCCUCGUUUCUAGGACGCUUGUCCGCUUUCCAAUACAAGUUCCACCUCGUGGACAUGACUUUUUAUUAUCUGGCCUCAAAUCAGGUAGGACUACCCGCUGAACUUAAGCAUAUCAAUAAGCGGAGGA